This 446-nucleotide ribosomal RNA is filed under the name uncultured bacterium. Its description in RNAcentral is "bacterial SSU rRNA". It matches the Rfam family "Bacterial small subunit ribosomal RNA", at positions 29 to 506 of the family's 1533-position model. The record is from RNAcentral.
ACGAACGCUGGCGGCAGGCCUCAUACAUGCAAGUCGAACGAUCUAGCAAUAGAGAGUGGCGCACGGGUGCGUAACGCGUGGGAAUAUACCCUUGACUACGGAACAACGUCGGGAAACUGACGCUAAUACCGUAUAAUGACCCCAGAAGUAGAUUUUGGGAUCCAAAGAUUUAUCGGUCAAGGAUUAGCCCGCGUCUGAUUAGCUAGUUGGUGAGGUAAUGGCUCACCAAGGCAACGAUCAGUAGCUGGUCUGAGAGGAUGAUCAGCCACACUGGGACUGAGACACGGCCCAGACUCCUACGGGAGGCAGCAGUAGGGAAUAUUGGACAAUGGGGGCAACCCUGAUCCAGCCAUGCCGCGUGAGUGAAGAAGGCCUUCGGGUUGUAAAACUCUUUUAGAUGUGAAGAUGAUGACGGUAGCAUCAGAAAAAGCUCCGGCUAACUUCGU